Molecule: RNA transcript, 2295 nt
Organism: Cercocebus atys (sooty mangabey)
Lineage: Eukaryota; Metazoa; Chordata; Mammalia; Primates; Cercopithecidae
Gene: PRCC
Gene name: papillary renal cell carcinoma (translocation-associated)
Exons: 7
Source: RefSeq, a predicted model, not a curated record
CCCUGCGUCAGAGGCGGGUUUCUCUUCUGUCUCUCUCUGCUCUCGCCUAAAUCCUUCCUCGGACUCCAACUCCCGCCGUGUCUUGCGCUGAGAUCCCUGCGACAAAGAAUCGGGCUGUGUCCAAAGUGUUCUCUGGGAGUUGUAGUUCCUCUAUUGGUGAGGCAAGGAGGAGGCGGAGUGACUCGGCGGCCAUUAGCUGUGUGUAGUUGCCCGGGACUAGGAGCUUAAGUGAAGAGGGACGCCUUAUUCGGUGGAAAUCAGCCGUAGCCAUGAGCUUCUGCCGCGGCUAGCCCUAGAGUACGGAGCAGGCGGACUUUUCGAUUCCCCGCCCCGCCAGGUGGCGGGGCCUACUAGGCCUCCGGGCAUCCCCGGUCUCAAGUAGGCCUCAUCUGCCGGCAAGGGCGCCCCAAACGCGGGAGGCGCCAUGUCGCUGGUUGCUUACGCCAGCAGCGAUGAGAGCGAGCCGGAUGAGGCUGAGCCCGAGCCGGAGGAAGAGGAGGCGGUGGCCCCUACAUCUGGGCCCGCUUUAGGGGGCUUGUUCGCUUCUCUCCCUGCGCCCAAGGGCCCGGCCUUGCUGCCUCCGCCCCCUCAGAUGCUGGCCCCAGCGUUUCCCCCGCCGCUGUUGCUUCCCCCACCCACCGCAGACCCCAGGCUUCAGCCUCCUCCCCCCUUGCCCUUCGGCCUGGGAGGCUUCCCCCCACCUCCAGGCGUGAGCCCGGCUGAAGCGGCGGGAGUUGGGGAGGGACUGGGAUUGGGGUUGCCCUCGCCCCGAGGCCCUGGCCUCAGUCUGCCCCCUCCAAUUGGCGGUGCCGGCCCCCCGCUGGGGCUUCCCAAGCCAAAGAAGAGGAAAGAGCCCGUGAAGAUCGCGGCGCCGGAGUUGCAUAAGGGAGAUUCAGAUUCUGAGGAAGAUGAACCCACAAAGAAGAAAACUAUCCUUCAGGGAUCCGGCGAGGGGACUGGUUUGUCUGCCUUGCUUCCCCAACCUAAAAACCUGACUGUGAAAGAGACUAACAGGUUGCUCCUGCCCCAUGCCUUCUCCCGCAAACCCUCGGAUGGCUCCCCUGAUACUAAGCCCUCCAGACUGGCUUCUAAGACCAAGACUUCCUCUCUUGCCCCUGUUGUGGGCACCACAACCACCACUCCGUCGCCCUCUGCUAUCAAGGCUGCUGCCAAGAGUGCUGCCCUGCAGGUGACAAAGCAGAUCACGCAGGAGGAAGACGACAGUGAUGAGGAAGUAGCCCCCGAAAACUUUUUCUCCCUCCCUGAAAAGGCCGAGCCACCUGGAGUUGAGCCAUACCCUUACCCCAUCCCCACUGUCCCUGAAGAGCUGCCUCCAGGCACGGAACCAGAGCCGGCUUUCCAGGACGAUGCAGCCAAUGCCCCCCUUGAAUUCAAGAUGGCAGCAGGCUCAAGUGGGGCCCCUUGGAUGCCUAAGCCUGGGGAUGACUACAGCUACAAUCAGUUUUCCACGUAUGGCGAUGCCAAUGCUGCUGGUGCUUAUUAUCAGUUGGUGUGUUUUUCUUUCCUGUUUGGCUGCAGGAUUAUUACAGUGGUGGCUACUAUCCUGCACAGGACCCGGCCCUGGUCCCACCCCAGGAAAUUGCCCCAGAUGCCUCCUUCAUCGAUGACGAAGCAUUUAAGCGGCUGCAGGGCAAGAGAAACCGAGGGAGAGAAGAAAUCAACUUUGUGGAGAUUAAAGGUGAUGACCAGCUCAGUGGGGCCCAGCAAUGGAUGACUAAGUCAUUGACAGAAGAGAAAACCAUGAAGUCAUUCAGCAAAAAGAAAGGUGAGCAGCCAACAGGCCAGCAGCGGCGGAAACACCAGAUCACAUAUCUUAUUCAUCAGGCCAAGGAGCGGGAGCUGGAACUGAAGAACACCUGGUCGGAGAACAAGCUCAGCCGCCGUCAGACCCAAGCCAAAUAUGGAUUCUAGGGCUCUGGAACUGAUUGCUCCCAGGAUCUCCUGCCAGCCCAGCUGGCCUGGCCCCCAGCUUCACCUCUGGGACCCCAGCAGCUGCUCUAAGCCCAGGAUCUCUUUCCCCAAGGACCCAGCCCUCGCCUCUGCGAGAAUGAACACAUUUGAUAGAUUUUUCUUAACAAGUUAGAAAAUUCAGCUCCUGUCUGUCCUGGAGCUAGCAAAGACUUGUGUGAUGCCUCUGAAGGGGCUCUGAGUUCUGGGAUGGGAGUUUUGCUCCCUGUCAGGUGUGAUGAAAUGUUGAACCCUCCCCACCACCACUUUUUUUUUUUUUUUAAACCAGGGAUGUCUGUUGAAAUAAAACAUUCAGUCUGACAAACA